AGGCUCCUCCUCAGGCUUGAAGAGAUUUCCAGGAGCGGUGACUCUCAUCUGCUCGAAGAUGAGCCCACUGUGGACCUUCCUCUUCGUGCUGUCAGCUCCCAGCGGGGUCCUGUCCCAGGUGCAGCUGCAGGAGUCGGGACCCAGCCUGGUGAAGCCCUCACAGACCCUCUCCCUCACCUGCGCUGUCUCUGGAUUCUCAUUAAGCAGCUAUGCUGUAGGCUGGGUCCGCCAGGCUCCAGGGAAGGCGCUGGAGUGGGUUGGUGUUAUAUGCAGUGGUGGAAGCACAUACUAUAACCCAGCCCUGAAAUCCCGGCUCAGCAUCACCAGGGACACCUCCAAGAGCCAAGUCUCUCUCUCACUGAGCAGCGUGACACCUGAGGACACGGCCGUGUAUUACUGUUCAAGGGGUGACUGGUACGGUAUAGACGUCUGGGGCCGAGGGAUCCUGGUCACCGUCUCCUCAGCCUCCACCACAGCCCCGAAAGUCUACCCUCUGGGUUCUUGCUGCGGGGACACGUCCAGCUCCACCGUGACCCUGGGCUGCCUGGUCUCCAGCUACAUGCCCGAGCCAGUGACCGUGACCUGGAACUCAGGUGCCCUGACCAGCGGUGUGCGCACCUUCCCGGCCGUCCGGCAGUCCUCCGGGCUCUACUCUCUCAGCAGCAUGGUGACCGUGCCCGCCAGCACCUCAGGAUCCCAGACCUUCACCUGCAACGUAGCCCACCCGGCCAGCAGCACCAAGGUGGACAAGCGUGUUGAGCCCAGAUGUGUGGACCGCUGCAGAGAUUGCCGAUGCCCAGCCCCUGAGCUCCCCGGAGGACCGUCUGUCUUCAUCUUCCCCCCGAAACCCAAGGACACCCUCACAAUCUCUGGAACGCCGGAGGUCACGUGUGUGGUGGUGGACGUGGGCCAGGAUGACCCCGAGGUCAAGUUCUCCUGGUUCGUGAAUGACGUGGAGGUGAACACGGCCAGGACGAAGCCGAGAGAGGAGCAGUUCAACAGCACCUACCGUGUGGUCAGCGCCCUGCCCAUCCAGCACCAGGACUGGACUGGGGGAAAGGAGUUCAAGUGCAAGGUCUACAAUGAAGGCCUCCCAGCCCCCAUCGUGAGAACCAUCUCCAGGACCAAAGGGCAGGCCCUGGAGCCACAGGUGUAUGUCCUGGCCCCACCCCGGGAAGAGCUCAGCAAAAGCACGGUCAGCCUCACCUGCCUGAUCACCGGCUUCUACCCAGACUACAUCGCCGUAGAGUGGCAGAGAAACGGGCAGCCUGAGUCGGAGGGCAAGUACGGCACGACCCAGCCCCAACUGGACGCCGACGGCUCCUACUUCUUGUACAGCAGGCUCAGGGUGAACAGGAGCAGCUGGCUAGAAGGAGACACCUACACGUGUAUAGUGAUGCAUGAGGCUCUGCACAAUCACUUCACACAGAAGUCCAUCUCUAAGUCUCCGGGUAAAUGAGCCACACGUCCCUGCACCAGCAAGCCCUCACCCACCCCACCCCGCCCCGGGCUCCAGGUCCAGCCAGGACCCCCCAGCCCCUCCCUGUGUGCAUUCCUCCUGGGCCGCCGUGAAUAAAGCACCCAGCGCCGCCCUGGGACCCUGCAA
Non-coding RNA from Cervus elaphus (red deer), 1606 nucleotides. NCBI's taxonomy places the organism in Eukaryota, Metazoa, Chordata, Mammalia, Artiodactyla, Cervidae. The record is from the annotation of a RefSeq genome assembly.